RNAcentral lists this unclassified non-coding RNA (354 nucleotides) under uncultured Russulaceae. RNAcentral describes it as "sequence contains ITS2". Lineage: Eukaryota; Fungi; Basidiomycota; Agaricomycetes; Russulales; Russulaceae. The record is from RNAcentral.
AACGCACCUUGCGCCCCUUGGUAUUCCGAGGGGCACACCCGUUUGAGCGUCGUGAAAUUCUCAACCUCCUCGGUUUCUUCUGGAGACUGAAGGAGGCUUGGACUUUGGAGGCCUUUGCUGGCGUGUCUCGCCAGCUCCUCUUAAAUGAAUUAGCGUGGUCCUAUUUGCCGAACCUCGACACGUGAUAAGAUGCUUCCGUGUCUCGGUUUCUGGCUCUGUUGCUUUUGGGACCCGCUUCUAACCGUCUGGACCUUGCGUCGAGACAAUGUUCGAGCUCGUAUCCCUUCUUGGGAAACCCCCUCGACCCCACGAACCCUUGGCCUCAAAUCGGGUGAGACUACCCGCUGAACUUAA